UGUGGGAGCGGGCUUGCCCGCGAUGCUGGCGACGCGGUUUAGCGUUGAAAUCGUGUUGAUGCCAUCGCGGGCAAGCCCGCUCCCACA
This 87-nucleotide non-coding RNA is filed under the name Pseudomonas libanensis. Lineage: Bacteria; Pseudomonadati; Pseudomonadota; Gammaproteobacteria; Pseudomonadales; Pseudomonadaceae. The record is from RNAcentral.